Molecule: long non-coding RNA, 393 nt
Filed under: Anas zonorhyncha (Eastern spot-billed duck)
Lineage: Eukaryota; Metazoa; Chordata; Aves; Anseriformes; Anatidae
Description: lncRNA (ENSAZOG00000009725.1)
Source: RNAcentral
UGAGCUGCAGCCCUGCAGGGAAGCCAGGCACCAGCAGAAAGCCCUCGGGUGCAUCCUGUGCAGCGCUGUGACCCCGUUUGUCGCUGUCCCCUCCCCACAGGUACAUGCUGAACAACUCCCUGGCUAAGAUACCCAACACCUCCCUGUGUGCGGAGAUGCCGAAGCUGAGCUGGCUGGAUCUGGAGGGGAACAGGAUCCGGGCGGUGCAUGGGGCCGUGUUCCAGGAGUGUCGCGAGCUCACCGUGCUGUGAGUACCCCAGGAUACCCCUGGGUGGGCUGGGGGCAGGGGGGGGCUCUGCUCGGACCCCUUUUCCCUCUGCUCUGGGCUAGGCGAGGGGCUGUGUUUCAUGUGAACGGUUUUGCUCCAUAUUUGUGUUGCUGUCGGCUUCAUGA